RNAcentral lists this ribosomal RNA (274 nucleotides) under uncultured bacterium. Its description in RNAcentral is "partial 16S ribosomal RNA". It matches the Rfam family "Bacterial small subunit ribosomal RNA", at positions 523 to 796 of the family's 1533-position model. The record is from RNAcentral.
AUACGGAGGGUCCAAGCGUUAUCCGGAUUCAUUGGGUUUAAAGGGUCCGCAGGCGGGAAAAUAAGUCAGUGGUGAAAGCCUAUAGCUCAACUGUAGAACUGCCAUUGAUACUGUUUUUCUUGAGUAUAGAUGAAGUGGGCGGAAUAUAUCAUGUAGAGGUGAAAUGCAUAGAUAUGAUAUAGAACACCGAUUGCGAAGGCAGCUCACUAAACUAUUACUGACGCUCAGGGACGAAAGCGUGGGGAGCGAACAGGAUUAGAAACCCUAGUAGUCC